GAUCUUUAUUUUUGUUAAUUAUAAAUUAAAAAGAAUAUUUAAAUUUAUAUUUUAAUAAAAAAUUUUACUGGGGUGGUAUUAAAAUUUAAAUAACUUUUAUUGUUUAUUUACAUUAAUAUAUGAAUAAUUGAUCCAAUUUUAUUGAUUAAAAAAUUAAGUUACCUUAGGGAUAACAGCGUAAUUUUUUUUUAGAGUUCAUAUCGACAAAAAAGAUUGC
RNAcentral lists this ribosomal RNA (217 nucleotides) under Ochlerotatus serratus. Its description in RNAcentral is "partial 16S ribosomal RNA". Lineage: Eukaryota; Metazoa; Arthropoda; Insecta; Diptera; Culicidae. The record is from RNAcentral.